This 546-nucleotide ribosomal RNA is filed under the name Cytospora sp. Po86. RNAcentral describes it as "eukaryotic LSU rRNA". The stretch from base 198 to 351 matches the Rfam family "5.8S ribosomal RNA". Lineage: Eukaryota; Fungi; Ascomycota; Sordariomycetes; Diaporthales; Cytosporaceae. The record is from RNAcentral.
UUGCUGGAGCCCGCAAGGUGCACCCAGAAACCCUUUGUGAACUUAUACCUAUUAUCGUUGCCUCGGCGUUGGCUGCCCUUCAGGCUCUUCGGAGGCUUUAGGGGCCCUCUCUUCGGAGGGGACAGCAGGCCCGCCGGCGGCCUACUUAACUCUGUUUUAAUCAAGUAUUAUCUGAGUAAAGCUUCUAAAUGAAUCAAAACUUUCAACAACGGAUCUCUUGGUUCUGGCAUCGAUGAAGAACGCAGCGAAAUGCGAUAAGUAAUGUGAAUUGCAGAAUUCAGUGAAUCAUCGAAUCUUUGAACGCACAUUGCGCCCUCUGGUAUUCCAGAGGGCAUGCCUGUUCGAGCGUCAUUUCAACCCUCAAGCCUAGCUUGGUGUUGGGGCCUUACCUGACUUCUUUUAGAAGGGUAAGCCCUGAAAUUCAGUGGCGAGCUCGCCAGGACUCCGAGCGUAGUAGUAAUAUCUCGUUCUGGAUCGUACUGGCGCGGCCCUGCCAGUAAAACCCCCAACUUCUGAAAAUUUGACCUCGGAUCAGGAGGAAAACCC